GGAGAUUUAGCUCAGUGGUAGAGCGCUUGCCUAGCAAGCGCAAGGCCCUGGGUUCGAUCCCCAGCUCCG
RNAcentral lists this transfer RNA (69 nucleotides) under Rattus norvegicus (Norway rat). It matches the Rfam family "tRNA". Rfam says of the family: Transfer RNA (tRNA) molecules are approximately 80 nucleotides in length. Their secondary structure includes four short double-helical elements and three loops (D, anti-codon, and T loops). Further hydrogen bonds mediate the characteristic L-shaped molecular structure. tRNAs have two regions of fundamental functional importance: the anti-codon, which is responsible for specific mRNA codon recognition, and the 3' end, to which the tRNAs corresponding amino acid is attached (by aminoacyl-tRNA synthetases). tRNAs cope with the degeneracy of the genetic code in two manners: having more than one tRNA (with a specific anti-codon) for a particular amino acid; and 'wobble' base-pairing, i.e. permitting non-standard base-pairing at the 3rd anti-codon position. The record is from Rfam by way of RNAcentral. Lineage: Eukaryota; Metazoa; Chordata; Mammalia; Rodentia; Muridae.